This 465-nucleotide ribosomal RNA is filed under the name uncultured bacterium. Its description in RNAcentral is "partial 16S ribosomal RNA". It matches the Rfam family "Bacterial small subunit ribosomal RNA", at positions 28 to 507 of the family's 1533-position model. The record is from RNAcentral.
GACGAACGCUGGCGGCGUGCUUAACACAUGCAAGUCGUACGGUAAGGCCCUUUCGGGGGUACACGAGUGGCGAACGGGUGAGUAACACGUGAGUAACCUGCCCACAACUUUGGGAUAACGCUAGGAAACUGGUGCUAAUACUGGAUAUGUGCUCCUGCUGCAUGGUGGGGGUUGGAAAGCUCCGGCGGUUGUGGAUGGACUCGCGGCCUAACAGCUUGUUGGUGGGGUAGUGGCCUACCAAGGCGGCGACGGGUAGCCGGCCUGAGAGGGUGACCGGCCACAUUGGGACUGAGAUACGGCCCAGGCUCCUACGGGAGGCAGCAGUGGGGAAUAUUGCACAAUGGGCGCAAGCCUGAUGCAGCAACGCCGCGUGCGGGAUGACGGCCUUCGGGUUGUAAACCGCUUUCAGCAGGGACGAAGCUUUUUGUGACGGUACCUGCAGAAGAAGCACCGGCUAACUACGUG